Molecule: ribosomal RNA, 325 nt
Filed under: Roeweria virescens
Lineage: Eukaryota; Metazoa; Arthropoda; Arachnida; Opiliones; Gonyleptidae
Description: partial small subunit ribosomal RNA
Source: RNAcentral
CCCUAUUAUGUUAAUGUUGUAUUGAUGAAUAAGUUUAUGAAAAUUAAUAAUAUUGGCGGUUAAUUUAUAAUAUUAGAGGAGCUUGUUUUUGAAUAGAAUCUACUCUUUAUAUUUUAGGUUUACUUAUUUGUUUAUUCAUUUCUGUAAUUAAAUUAAUAAUUAUAAAAAAAUAAUUUUUUAUAUUUCAGGUCAAGAUGUAGCAUAUUAAUAUAAGAAAUUAGCUACAGUUAUCAAUUAAUGGAAUUUAAUUAUAUAUAUAUUAAUUUAAAUUGAAUUUAGUUGUAAUAGUAUCUAGAAUGUUAGUAUGAUUUUAGAUAAUUAAUGU